UAAGAAUAAAAUGGGACCGCAGUCCUACUACUCUUGAGGAGACGCCCCUAAAUAACAGCCAUUAAAUACUAAAUUUUAAAAUGUCAUGCUUCCAGUUGACCAUAUGUUAAUCAGAAAACAUAAUGUUUUAUUCAGACAGUCCACAUCAAUUCCCAGCAUUUCAAGUUAAAAUAUUUGGGGUUUUAAAUAAUUACUUGCAGAGGCAGAAAGCAGAGGAGAGCAAAUAAGAGUCUAAUAGGCAAAACUUCAACAUCAGCAGGAAAAGGAUGAGAUGAUAUGCCCAAGUGAUCUCAACAAAUGAACUCCAGCCAACAAUACUGAGGGACUUCCCCAUCUAGGUUCCAGGUGUAUGCUCUCCCAUACAGCAAUUAGUCUGAGAACAUGAGCAGGACAAGCCAACCACCUCUAAGAAGUUUUUCUUCUUGAUCGCCGAGGUUAGCUGUUCGGCACUGUCCCCAGCCAGAACCGCAGCGACUGAAGCGAGUUACGCUCUGCAUCUCAUUUUCCAAGAAGGCCUCUAUUUACAAAGUGUCACAGCCAUUUUCUUCUGGAUGGAAAUGCUGCCCUCAAGCUGCCAUUGUAACCUGAAACAAGGAUGCUUCAUUGCUUCAGAAAAGACUCUGGGGACUCUAAUUCAUAUAUUGCUGGUAUGUAGCAUCCUUCAUCAUUGUUUUGGCAUACCGCUUACAUUUUGAGAAAUAUAUGAAGAUAUGAAUAUUAAAUUGAGGAGUAUAAUGUUAAUAAGUAAGUACAGACUUUUCACACCUCUUAUUUUAACUUCAAUCUUAAUACUUAGCUAACAAAAACUCAAAAAUAGCUUCUUAAGAUAAGUAAACGGGCAUAAAAGUUGAUGAAUAUCUUUAAAUCACCAAAGGAAAAAGUAACAGAAAAAAGAGGAAUGCCCAUGAACACUAACUUGUGAUUCUUAGCUUUAACUACAAAGACUUAUGUCCUUGAUAUUAGUACAAAUAUCAAAAAGACUAACAACUGUAAGAAGAAUUACUCUAUGACAAAGGGCUAGUCCUGUCAAAGUAAUGAUAUUACAGCAGUAUAUCAACAGAAGAAUAGCCACACUAACAUCUAUCUAAUCUCCUAUCCUAUCUUCUGUUACAGCCAAUAAGGCUGGUUUGGAUGGAUUAUAAGUAUAUAUCAUACACUGGUAUUUCCCACAAUAGUCUUCCAGCUUCGAGCCAUCUGUAAUUUAGAGAUUUCAGAGCCAAAGCUGUAUAUUUGUAGUUAGCAUUUUUUCUCACAGCAAAUUCUGUUUUUUGGAAUCAAAAUAUUUGUUUCACAUCUCAAAUACUAAACCUAAACAUUGAGGUAAGUAAUUCCAUUGCUUACUUUCUUCUGUGUGAAAGAGGAGCCCUUCUGUGUUUUUCAGUCUGAACACCCACUGGAUUCCUUUGGAUUCCCAUUCAUACUAGAUAAUACUUCUAUCAUUCUAACUGCAUACGUUCCCAAUACUUUAGAAAAUAUUAAAGCAGUGAGUUGGCAUGCUUAUUUAUUUGUAGUAAAAAAAUCUAUUUUGACUUUGACAAAAAUGUAACAUUUCAAAUAGAUCUGGUGGAGGGAGCUGAAUGGACUCAGGACCUUAUUAUUUUAUAGUUGUAGCUGUGAAUUAAUAAGCUUUGUUAUUCUACAAAGUCUCUGUCAGUUUACCAGAGGUGAGUGAUUUUUGUCAAACACGAAGUUUAA
Molecule: long non-coding RNA, 1695 nt
Filed under: Numida meleagris (helmeted guineafowl)
Lineage: Eukaryota; Metazoa; Chordata; Aves; Galliformes; Numididae
Description: lncRNA (ENSNMEG00000022217.1)
Source: RNAcentral